This 478-nucleotide ribosomal RNA is filed under the name uncultured organism. RNAcentral's name for it is "partial 16S ribosomal RNA". It matches the Rfam family "Bacterial small subunit ribosomal RNA", at positions 331 to 800 of the family's 1533-position model. The record is from RNAcentral.
GUACACUCCUACGGGAGGCAGCAGUGGGGAAUUUUGGACAAUGGGCGAAAGCCUGAUCCAGCAAUGCCGCGUGUGUGAAGAAGGCCUUCGGGUUGUAAAGCACUUUUGUCCGGAAAGAAAUCCUUGGCUCUAAUACAGUCGGGGGAUGACGGUACCGGAAGAAUAAGCACCGGCUAACUACGUGCCAGCAGCCGCGGUAAUACGUAGGGUGCGAGCGUUAAUCGGAAUUACUGGGCGUAAAGCGUGCGCAGGCGGUUUGCUAAGACCGAUGUGAAAUCCCCGGGCUCAACCUGGGAACUGCAUUGGUGACUGGCAGGCUAGAGUAUGGCAGAGGGGGGUAGAAUUCCACGUGUAGCAGUGAAAUGCGUAGAGAUGUGGAGGAAUACCGAUGGCGAAGGCAGCCCCCUGGGCCAAUACUGACGCUCAUGCACGAAAGCGUGGGGAGCAAACAGGAUUAGAAACCCCGGUAGUCCCAUGA